Long non-coding RNA from Culex pipiens pallens (northern house mosquito), 582 nucleotides. RefSeq lists it as uncharacterized. The record is from RefSeq and is a predicted model, not a curated record. NCBI's taxonomy places the organism in Eukaryota, Metazoa, Arthropoda, Insecta, Diptera, Culicidae. The transcript is spliced from 3 exons.
GGUUAGUAAAAAACUCUCAGAUCAUCGGCUGAAAAUCCUACUGCUUUCGGGUAAGAUGAUGAUGAUUCUCACUUCCUCCAAUUCGAAUUGAUGCUUUGCGCGAGUUCAAAGGCAACAAAGGAAGUUUCCAUUGGAAUGGGUUGGUACCCUUCACCACGACGACCCCAUUCCCCAACAGACCCAAACUCGCCAAAAUCACCCCAAAUUAGUAAGUUAAAUCGUCGUCGUCCGCCAUUCUCACCCUAGAAAGAAAAAAAAAUACAAAACACUUUCCCAAAAAGCUACAAACUUUUUCAACCCGCGCCUUUUGACAGCUCUCGCACCGUUUGACUUUUCGCGGUGACGUCCAGCUGAGACUCCAACCUCCCCAAAUCGUAGCGUGGGGUGGGCAAUUUUUUUCUAUGAUUUAUUGCGCGCUGGCAUGACGUGUAUGACCCUUGACGAAUUCCGCGUCAAAACUGCUUUUUUGCUGAAGAGGGCAGAGAAAACGGCAUAUUUGACGCCAAGUGAAACAAAAUGUUUUCCAAAAAUGCGUGAAGAUCGAUCGUUUGGUAGCGCUGAACAUGCGUAACAAAAACGCGG